AGAGUUUGAUCAUGGCUCAGAACAAACGCUGGCGGCGUGCCUAAUACAUGCAAGUCGAACGAAGAAAUCUCUUCGGAGAGAGUAAGAGUGGCGCACGGGUGAGUAACGCGUGGAUAAUCUGCCCUGGAGUGGGGAACAACCUAUCGAAAGGUAGGCUAAUACCGCAUAAGACCACAGAAGCUGCGGCUUCAGUGGUCAAAGAUUUAUCGCUCCUGGAUGAGUCCGCGUAAGAUUAGCUAGUUGGUAAGGUAAUGGCUUACCAAGGCUCCGAUCUUUAACUGGUUUGAGAGGAUGAUCAGUCACACUGGAACUGAGACACGGUCCAGACUCCUACGGGAGGCAGCAGUAGGGAAUAUUGCGCAAUGGGGGAAACCCUGACGCAGCGACGCCGCGUGUGUGAUGAAGGCUUUAGGGUCGUAAAGCACUGUCGUAAGGGAAUAACACAAUGAAGGUACCUUACAAGAAAGGACCGGCUAACUUCGUGCCAGCAGCCGCGGUAAUACGAGGGGUCCUAGCGUUGUUCGGAAUCAUUGGGCGUAAAGCGGGUGUAGGCGGAAAUGUAGGUCAGAAGUGAAAGUCCAGGGCUCAACCCUGGAAGUGCUUUUGAAACCCCAUUUCUUGAGUGUAGAAGAGGAGAGUGGAAUUCCAGGUGUAGUGGUGAAAUACGUAGAUAUCUGGAGGAACAUCGGUGGCGAAGGCGGCUCUCUGGUCUAUUACUGACGCUCAGACCCGAAAGCGUGGGGAGCAAACGGGAUUAGAUACCCCGGUAGUCCACGCCGUAAACGAUGGACACUUGGUGUUGGGAGGUAUUGACCCCUUCAGUGCCGAAGCUAACGCGUUAAGUGUCCCGCCUGGGGAGUACGGUCGCAAGAUUAAACUCAAGGGAUUGACGGG
This 894-nucleotide ribosomal RNA is filed under the name uncultured bacterium. Its description in RNAcentral is "bacterial SSU rRNA". It matches the Rfam family "Bacterial small subunit ribosomal RNA", at positions 8 to 917 of the family's 1533-position model. The record is from RNAcentral.